Molecule: ribosomal RNA, 1061 nt
Filed under: Lactiplantibacillus plantarum
Lineage: Bacteria; Bacillati; Bacillota; Bacilli; Lactobacillales; Lactobacillaceae
Description: bacterial SSU rRNA
Rfam family: Bacterial small subunit ribosomal RNA
Source: RNAcentral
GGGCCUAUACAUGCAAGUCGAACGAACUCUGGGUAUUGAUUGGUGCUUGCAUCAUGAUUUACAUUUGAGUGAGUGGCGAACUGGUGAGUAACACGUGGGAAACCUGCCCAGAAGCGGGGGAUAACACCUGGAAACAGAUGCUAAUACCGCAUAACAACUUGGACCGCAUGGUCCGAGUUUGAAAGAUGGCUUCGGCUAUCACUUUUGGAUGGUCCCGCGGCGUAUUAGCUAGAUGGUGGGGUAACGGCUCACCAUGGCAAUGAUACGUAGCCGACCUGAGAGGGUAAUCGGCCACAUUGGGACUGAGACACGGCCCAAACUCCUACGGGAGGCAGCAGUAGGGAAUCUUCCACAAUGGACGAAAGUCUGAUGGAGCAACGCCGCGUGAGUGAAGAAGGGUUUCGGCUCGUAAAACUCUGUUGUUAAAGAAGAACAUAUCUGAGAGUAACUGUUCAGGUAUUGACGGUAUUUAACCAGAAAGCCACGGCUAACUACGUGCCAGCAGCCGCGGUAAUACGUAGGUGGCAAGCGUUGUCCGGAUUUAUUGGGCGUAAAGCGAGCGCAGGCGGUUUUUUAAGUCUGAUGUGAAAGCCUUCGGCUCAACCGAAGAAGUGCAUCGGAAACUGGGAAACUUGAGUGCAGAAGAGGACAGUGGAACUCCAUGUGUAGCGGUGAAAUGCGUAGAUAUAUGGAAGAACACCAGUGGCGAAGGCGGCUGUCUGGUCUGUAACUGACGCUGAGGCUCGAAAGUAUGGGUAGCAAACAGGAUUAGAUACCCUGGUAGUCCAUACCGUAAACGAUGAAUGCUAAGUGUUGGAGGGUUUCCGCCCUUCAGUGCUGCAGCUAACGCAUUAAGCAUUCCGCCUGGGGAGUACGGCCGCAAGGCUGAAACUCAAAGGAAUUGACGGGGGCCCGCACAAGCGGUGGAGCAUGGUGGUUUAAUUCGAAGCUACGCGAAGAACCUUACCAGGUCUUGACAUACUAUGCAAUCUAGAAAAUAGACGUUCCCUUCGGGGACUGGAAACAGGUGGUGCAUGGUUGUCGUCAGCUCGGGCCGGGAA